Molecule: ribosomal RNA, 954 nt
Filed under: Triticum aestivum (bread wheat)
Lineage: Eukaryota; Viridiplantae; Streptophyta; Magnoliopsida; Poales; Poaceae
Description: partial small subunit ribosomal RNA
Source: RNAcentral
AUGUUAGAGGAUCACAAAAAGUCGUUGUACCCAGGAUGCGAUAAUAGUCUGAAAAAGCUGAGCUGCACACUGGAUUUGCUAAAAUGGAAGGCACAGGAAGGUGUAGCUGACUCAUCAUUUGAAAAUUUGCUGAAAAUGUUGAAGAAUAUGUUUCCGAAGAAUAACGAGUUGCCCGCCAGUACGUACGAAGCAAAGAAGGUUGUCUGCCCUCUAGGUUUAGAGGUUCUGAAGAUACAUGCAUGCAUUAACGACUGCAUCCUCUACCGCGGUGAAUACGAGAAUUUGAAUGAAUGCCCUGUAUGCACUGCAUUGCGUUAUAAGAUCAGAGGCGAUGACCCUGGUGACGAUGUUGAGGGCGAGAAACCCAGGAAGAGGGUUCCCUCCAAGGUGAUGUGGUAUGCUCCUAUAAUACCACGGUUGAAACGUCUGUUCAGGAACAAAAAGCAUGCCAAGUCGUUGCGAUGGCACAAAGAGGACCGUAAGUCCGAGGGGGAGUUGAGACACACCGCUGAUGGAACGCAAUGGAGAAAGAACGACAGAGUGUUCAAAGAUUUUGCAGCUGACGCAAGGAACAUAAGAUUUGGUCUAAGUACUGAUGGCAUGAAUCCUUUUGGCGAGCAGAGCUCCAGCCAUAGCACCUGGCCCGUGACUCUAUGCAUCUACAACCUUCCUCCUUGGUUGUGCAUGAAGCGGAAGUUCAUUAUGAUGCCAGUGCUCAUCCAAGGUCCAAAGCAACCCGGGAACGACAUCGAUGUGUACCUAAGGCCAUUAGUUGAUGAACUUUUACAGUUGUGGGGCAGACCUGGUGUACGUGUCUGGGAUGAGCACAAAGAAGAGGAAUUUGACCUACGAGCGUUGCUUUUUGUAACCAUCAACGAUUGGCCUGCUCUCAGCAACCUUUCGGGACAGACAAAUAAGGGAUACAAUGCAUGCACGCACUGCUUACAUGAGACU